This 543-nucleotide ribosomal RNA is filed under the name Staphylococcus aureus. RNAcentral's name for it is "partial 23S ribosomal RNA". It matches the Rfam family "Bacterial large subunit ribosomal RNA", at positions 992 to 1538 of the family's 2925-position model. The record is from RNAcentral. Lineage: Bacteria; Bacillati; Bacillota; Bacilli; Caryophanales; Staphylococcaceae.
UGGGUGAUAAGGUCCGUGUUCGAAAGGGAAACAGCCCAGACCACCAGCUAAGGUCCCAAAAUAUAUGUUAAGUGGAAAAGGAUGUGGCGUUGCCCAGACAACUAGGAUGUUGGCUUAGAAGCAGCCAUCAUUUAAAGAGUGCGUAAUAGCUCACUAGUCGAGUGACACUGCGCCGAAAAUGUACCGGGGCUAAACAUAUUACCGAAGCUGUGGAUUGUCCUUUGGACAAUGGUAGGAGAGCGUUCUAAGGGCGUUGAAGCAUGAUCGUAAGGACAUGUGGAGCGCUUAGAAGUGAGAAUGCCGGUGUGAGUAGCGAAAGACGGGUGAGAAUCCCGUCCACCGAUUGACUAAGGUUUCCAGAGGAAGGCUCGUCCGCUCUGGGUUAGUCGGGUCCUAAGCUGAGGCCGACAGGCGUAGGCGAUGGAUAACAGGUUGAUAUUCCUGUACCACCUAUAAUCGUUUUAAUCGAUGGGGGGACGCAGUAGGAUAGGCGAAGCGUGCGAUUGGAUUGCACGUCUAAGCAGUAAGGCUGAGUAUUAGGCA